This 305-nucleotide ribosomal RNA is filed under the name uncultured bacterium. RNAcentral describes it as "bacterial SSU rRNA". It matches the Rfam family "Bacterial small subunit ribosomal RNA", at positions 335 to 657 of the family's 1533-position model. The record is from RNAcentral.
UUGCCUACGGGGCGCAGCAGUAGGGAAUAUUGCUCAAUGGGGGAAACCCUGAAGCAGCAACGCCGCGUGGAGGAUGAAGGUUUUAGGAUUGUAAACUCCUUUUGUAAGAGAAGAUUAUGACGGUAUCUUACGAAUAAGCACCGGCUAACUCCGCGCCAGCAGCCGCGGUAAUACGGAGGGUGCAAGCGUUACUCGGAAUCACUGGGCGUAAAGAGCGCGUAGGCGGGUGGUCAAGUCAGAUGUGAAGUCCUGCGGCUUAACCGCAGAACUGCAUUUGAAACUGUUGAUCUUGAGUACUGGAGAGG